This is a non-coding RNA of Pangasianodon gigas (Mekong giant catfish), 72 nucleotides long. The record is from the annotation of a GenBank genome assembly. Lineage: Eukaryota; Metazoa; Chordata; Actinopteri; Siluriformes; Pangasiidae.
UCCCUGGUGGUCUAGCGGCUAAGGUACCGCUGUCUCAAUGCCACGGCCCGAGUUCGAUUCCUGGGCAGGGAA